CCCGCACAAGCGGAGGAACAUGUGGUUUAAUUCGAUGAUACGCGAGGAACCUUACCUGGGCUUAAAUGUAGAGUGCAUUUUCUAGAGAUAGGAAUUCCCUUCGGGGCUUUCUGCAAGGUGCUGCAUGGUUGUCGCCAGCUCGUGCCGUGAGGUGUCGGGUUAAGUCCCAUAACGAGCGCAACCCUUAUCGUUAGUUGCCAUCUGGUAAAGCAGGGGACUCUAGCGAAACUGCCACCGUAAGGUGAGAGGAAGUGGGAUGACGUCAAAUCAGCACGGCCCUUAUGUCCAGGGCUACACACGUGUUACAAUGGCCGGUACAGAGGGCAGCUACCUGGUGACAGGAUGCUAAUCUCGAAAACCGGUCUCAGUUCGGAUCGAAGUCUGCAACUCGACUUCGUGAAGCUGGAUUCGCUAGUAAUCGCGCAUCAGCCAUGGCGCGGUGAAUACGUUCCCGGGUCUU
This 460-nucleotide ribosomal RNA is filed under the name uncultured Sphingobacteriales bacterium. RNAcentral's name for it is "bacterial SSU rRNA". It matches the Rfam family "Bacterial small subunit ribosomal RNA", at positions 920 to 1382 of the family's 1533-position model. Lineage: Bacteria; Pseudomonadati; Bacteroidota; Sphingobacteriia; Sphingobacteriales. The record is from RNAcentral.